This 301-nucleotide ribosomal RNA is filed under the name uncultured bacterium. Its description in RNAcentral is "partial 16S ribosomal RNA". It matches the Rfam family "Bacterial small subunit ribosomal RNA", at positions 509 to 807 of the family's 1533-position model. The record is from RNAcentral.
CAGCAGCCGCGGUAAUACGGAGGGUGCAAGCGUUAAUCGGAAUUACUGGGCGUAAAGCGCACGCAGGCGGUUUGUUAAGUCAGAUGUGAAAUCCCCGGGCUCAACCUGGGAACUGCAUCUGAUACUGGCAAGCUUGAGUCUCGUAGAGGGGGGUAGAAUUCCAGGUGUAGCGGUGAAAUGCGUAGAGAUCUGGAGGAAUACCGGUGGCGAGGGCGGCCCCCUGGACGAAGACUGACGCUCAGGUGCGAAAGCGUGGGGAGCAAACAGGAUUAGAUACCCGAGUAGUCCCUGUCUCUUAUAC